This 403-nucleotide ribosomal RNA is filed under the name uncultured bacterium. RNAcentral's name for it is "bacterial SSU rRNA". It matches the Rfam family "Bacterial small subunit ribosomal RNA", at positions 917 to 1322 of the family's 1533-position model. The record is from RNAcentral.
GGGCCCGCACAAGCGGCGGAGCAUGCGGAUUAAUUCGAUGCAACGCGAAGAACCUUACCAAGGCUUGACAUAUAGAGGAAAAGUGCAGAAAUGCACUCCCCGCAAGGUCUCUAUACAGGUGGUGCAUGGUUGUCGUCAGCUCGUGUCGUGAGAUGUUGGGUUAAGUCCCGCAACGAGCGCAACCCUCGUCCUAUGUUGCCAGCACGUAAUGGUGGGAACUCAUGGGAUACUGCCGGGGUCAACUCGGAGGAAGGUGGGGAUGACGUCAAAUCAUCAUGCCCCUUAUGUCUUGGGCUUCACGCAUGCUACAAUGGCCGGUACAGAGGGCUGCAAUACCGUAAGGUGGAGCGAAUCCCAAAAAGCCGGUCGUAGUCCGGAUUGGGGUCUGCAACUCGACCCCAUG